UUGUCGGGUAAGUUCCGACCUGCACGAAUGGCGUAAUGAUGGCCAGGCUGUCUCCACCCGAGACUCAGUGAAAUUGAACUCGCUGUGAAGAUGCAGUGUACCCGCGGCAAGACGGAAAGACCCCGUGAACCUUUACUAUAGCUUGACACUGAACAUGGAGCCUUGAUGUGUAGGAUAGGUGGGAGGCCUGGAAGUGCGGACGCCAGUCUGCAUGGAGCCAUCCUUGAAAUACCACCCUUGAAUGUUCGAUGUUCUCACUUAAGCCCGUCAUCCGGGCUGAGGACAGUGUCUGGCGGGUAGUUUGACUGGGGCGGUCUCCUCCCAAAGCGUAACGGAGGAGCACGAAGGUUGGCUAAUCACGGUCGGACAUCGUGAGGUU
RNAcentral lists this ribosomal RNA (379 nucleotides) under Photorhabdus luminescens subsp. sonorensis. RNAcentral's name for it is "partial 23S ribosomal RNA". It matches the Rfam family "Bacterial large subunit ribosomal RNA", at positions 1969 to 2347 of the family's 2925-position model. The record is from RNAcentral. Lineage: Bacteria; Pseudomonadati; Pseudomonadota; Gammaproteobacteria; Enterobacterales; Morganellaceae.